Molecule: ribosomal RNA, 251 nt
Filed under: uncultured Lactobacillus sp.
Lineage: Bacteria; Bacillati; Bacillota; Bacilli; Lactobacillales; Lactobacillaceae
Description: partial 16S ribosomal RNA
Rfam family: Bacterial small subunit ribosomal RNA
Source: RNAcentral
CGAACGUGGGUAACCGUACGCCCAAGAGAUCGGGAUAACACCUGGAAACAGAUGCUAAUACCGGAUAAUAACAGAUGGUGCCUAUCAACUGUUUAAAAGAUGGUUCUGCUAUCACUCUUGGAUGGACCUGCGGUGCAUUAGCUAGUUGGUAGGGUAACGGCCUACCAAGGCGAUGAUGCAUAGCCGAGUUGAGAGACUGAUCGGCCACAUUGGGACUGAGACACGGCCCAAACUCCUACGGGACAGCAGGG